GACGGAGGGGGCUAGCGUUGUUCGGAAUUACUGGGCGUAAAGAGUGCGUAGGCGGUUUAGUAAGUUGGAAGUGAAAGCCCGGGGCUUAACCCCGGAACUGCUUUCAAAACUACUAAUCUAGAGUGUAGUAGGGGAUGAUGGAAUUCCUAGUGUAGAGGUGAAAUUCUUAGAUAUUAGGAGGAACACCGGUGGCGAAGGCGGUCAUCUAGGCUACAACUGACGCUGAGGCACGAAAGCGUGGGGAGCAAACAGG
Molecule: ribosomal RNA, 253 nt
Filed under: uncultured bacterium
Lineage: Bacteria
Description: partial 16S ribosomal RNA
Rfam family: Bacterial small subunit ribosomal RNA
Source: RNAcentral